GUUGCCAUUCCAUUUAAAAUUGGGUGGUUCUAGUUGGACCUCUAAAUUUGAUAUUUGGACCUCCAUCUUUUUUCAAUUAUCAAUAGAGACUUUGUCAACUCAUAUGAAAAGACAAAUAAGGACAAAGAGAGAGAAAAAAAAAUCAAAUACUAUUCUUACCUCCCUCAUUAAUAUAACAUUCAAUUUUCUUUUGGACAAUCGCAUUAAUAUAACAUUCAAACUUUUUUGGAAUUUCCUUAUAUAACUUUAUAAUUUACCUAAAAUAAUUAAAUAUAAAUAAUUAAUUUAUAUAUAUGGCAUUAUCAUUUAAUACAAAAGUAAAUCAAAAAAAUUUGAUUUGGAUUUUCCUUUAACAAAUAUUUUGGUGUAGCUAUUACUAAAUUAUUUGAGAACCAAAAGUCUUUUUUUUUAAAGGACCAAAAGUCUUUUUUACAAUCAUCCAUAUUGCAAAAAAAAAAAAAAAAAAGCCUAUGAUACGGAUUAAAAGAAAAAUAUUUAUAAUUGUCUAGUUGUUCGGCCUCUCCAAGAAUCACUUUCUGGUUCCGUCCCUGAAAGUACACAAAAAAUGUAAGCAGCUCCCCUCACAAAAUUUUUCUUGGUUGAAUUGAUAAGAGAUUAAAAAAAAAAAACAAAUUGUUGAAAAUAUAGAUUUAAUUGUUCAAGGGUGUUUUGGUAAAAUUAAGGAGGUGUACUUAGCUUUUUAAGUAUUCAAAAAAAUGAAUUAGAGGUUUAAUAUAAGAGGUCCAAAUAUCAAAUUUGGAGGUCCAACUAGAAUCACUCUUUAAAAUUUCAUUCAGGCGUGUAAUUGUGAGGAAGCUUUUGGAAAUGUAUGAUGAAAAAAGAGAGGUUGAAGUUAGAAUUAUGCAAUCACAUAGUCUGUCUCACAAUUGAUAUAUUGACAUUGGUUUGGUUAAAAUGUCAACUACAUGGUGGUGAAAACACAUGUUAUUGAUUUUGGAUGGAGAAUGCACAAAAGAAUCUUAAAUUUUUGUAUCAUUCCCAACCACCAAGGCACAACUAUAGGAAAAAUAUUAUUUGGUCUAUUAAUGGAAGAUAGAUAAGGUGUUGACAGGCGAAGGUUGGUAACCCUAUUGGUGACAUGUUGGUAUUUUUGUAUGUCGAUAAAGCCAAUGUGCAUCUUAUGUGUUUGAGUUCAGGUGAAUAGUGAUAUGUGUUAGUGUUACAAGUUAUGGCAAUAGAGCCUUCAAGCUUUUGCCGAUACUCAAUAGUGUUAGAGGAGGUGCUUUUUGCCCUAUGUGUGCUUAUAUUAGUGGAGAGUCACACCAGAUCAAUUAUGUGACGGGAUCACUGAGACUCUUUUCAUUACCUUGUUGUUAACUUUCGAUGCUCUUAAUUUGUAUAGAGGAGGGAAACUCAGCUUUUGGCCAGAAGCGAUUCUCUAAACCGCGGAAAUAUGGAAGCAAAUAGCAGCUUUUGAUUUUUGCUUCUGCGGGAAUCAAGUUAAGAACGCGGAAGACUUAAUGAAACAUAUGAAUUGCCCAGAUUUUCCUCGUGCUUUUAUGAUUUUUACAUUGACAGGUCCUUUGUUCUGUCACACUCUUCCUUCGCCAACAUCCUCUCCUUUUCUCUGUGACCGUCUCACCAAUUCUUCUCUUCCCUUAGCAAUGGGUGACGCUUUUUGGGGGAUUCUGAUCUGGAUCGUAAUGAUUUAUAGCUUAGUCUGAUCUCAGACAUUCGAUCUUACUUGCAACUAUCGACGGAUCACCAUGCCGGCUGUACGCCUCUCAUCCUCCAUUCCAGGUUUCACACACUUGUAGACAAGAUGAGCCAGAUGGUCAUUCUUAUUCAAUUAUAUGUAUUUGCAAUUCUUAUUUGGCCUUUUUUUUCUUUUGGAAUUUGGCUUUUGGUCUGAAUUUUUGCAAAAUUACAGCACAAGUUCUUGAAUGCUUUGUUCUCUGGCUUAUACUGUGUUGAUUCUAUGCUCUUUUACACGGUCUUUUUUUUUUUUUUUUUUUUCUUCCUUUGUUUGGUUGGGUAUUCUCCCUUUAAUGGUUAUCUUUAUUGGUGUGAUUGCUCUUACAUUAGAAGCUAUUUUUCAUAAUAUUAUUAGGUGCUAAUGAUGUUUUGAUGAUCCAAAUGGUUGAUGUAGGAGUUGGGAUCAGUGGCCAAGAGGCUCGAGUGCUCGACAAGCUGUCAUAGUUUCAGAUUUUGCAAUGGAGCAGUUCGGAUUCUUAGUUCCUUUCUAGUUGGUAUUGGAAUUACCAGCAAGUGACACAUUUGAAUUGAAGCUAGAAGGUUGAAGAUGGCCAAAUUUGUAUCUACUUUAAGUCGAACCAAUUGUAUAUGAUAUUCUUGAUGUUCGACUUGCACCCGCCACUUAUAACAGGAACAAUGAAAGAAGAAUCAGUAUGAAUAAUUAUUAUGGUUGCUUCUAUUUUGAUGUGGGUGUGUGCAGUCUUAUAUUCAACUAUGAUCCAAUAAUUGAGAAUCUCUGUGACUUGGACUGUGAUAUCUGGCAACCCUACCAAAUAACGAAGGGAAAAUGCUACCAAAUUGGAAGAGGCCCCAUUCUAGUAUGAUGCUAAUCUCUUUGGGGCUCACUCUAUUUGUCUUCUUUGAGAAAUCCAGAAGUAAAGAGGGUCUAAACAGUGUGAUAUAAGAACCAAUCAUGGAGCAAGUAUCAGAGAAAAGAUUUCCUUUGGAUGCAAAAGAGUACAAGUUAUAUGAAGAAGUGGGUGAAGGUGUUAGUGCUAGUGUGUACAUAGCACUCUGCGUACCACUUAAUGAGAUAGUAGCUAUCAAGGUUCUUGAUCUGGAAAAAUGCAAUAAUGACCUGGUCAAUGUCCAGGAUUCUUGCUUCAUAUGACUAAUUCGAUGGACGACCAGUACCAAGAGGAUAUGCUCUAUAAAGUAGUUGCUAGAGUUUAUAAUGUUGGCUGAAUUUUCAUGUUAUUUAGACCACCUCGUAGUCUUACAAUACUCCUUUUCCUUUCUUACUAAUUUUAUGAGGUGAUGUUUAGAUUUUAGAUUUUCGUAUAUGACUCUCUGAUUGUAUUAUCUUGCAAUUGUGAGAUCUCAAAUUUUCAACUUAUCAAUGUAUAAAAGCUUUCACU
Molecule: long non-coding RNA, 3074 nt
Organism: Rosa rugosa (rugosa rose)
Lineage: Eukaryota; Viridiplantae; Streptophyta; Magnoliopsida; Rosales; Rosaceae
Exons: 3
Source: RefSeq, a predicted model, not a curated record